Long non-coding RNA from Ruditapes philippinarum (Manila clam), 480 nucleotides. RefSeq lists it as uncharacterized. NCBI's taxonomy places the organism in Eukaryota, Metazoa, Mollusca, Bivalvia, Venerida, Veneridae. The record is from RefSeq and is a predicted model, not a curated record. The transcript has 3 exons.
GUAAGUCUCGUUUACUUUCACUUUCGAUUUACCACUUCCGGGUACAUCGGCAGACUUAUUUACCGUUACGCAUAUAGGUAACCCGAAGAACUCGAGAGAUAUAGAAGUUAAAUUUGUUUCGGUCCGCUUCAAAUUUGAAGGAAUGGAAAACACUGGUCAAAAAAUGCAGAUGUGUAGACAGGGAGGUAUAUGACAAGUACAUGUAUAGAAUAUACAGUUCUUCACUAUGGACCAUUAAUCAAAUGUUUGCACUGCCUAUGAUCCUGAAAUAUCUAUACAUCAAAGAUAAAAAGAAAAAAGAUGAAGGGACUUUGUCCAUGAAGACCUUUAUUGCAACUACCAUCUUCCAGUUCCUUAAUUUGAGAAUGAUCUCAGAGAACACACAGUUACAUUGAAAUAUUAGUUUAAUAUAAGCCACUGAGAAUAGUCAAAUGUACUUUCCUGAAGAAGAUGAAUGACAUGCAGCACAAAAAUCUUGAU